CGGAUAUCUUCGGCUCCGCAGCCCGACCCCGAGUCGGCUGCCCCUUGAUCCAGCAAUCCGACCUCGGGUCGGAUAUCUUCGGCUCCGCAGCCCGACCCCGAGUCGGCUGCCCCUUGAUCCAGCAAUCCGACCCCGAGUCGGCAAUCUCUGACAACAACAGACUGUUCCCUUGAGGCACGCCGCGGCCCCCUGCUCCACUACUCCCUGCAACGGCCGUAUCCGACGCUGUUUCACGAUCCCCUGUAACAGCCGUAC
Molecule: long non-coding RNA, 255 nt
Filed under: Phoenix dactylifera (date palm)
Lineage: Eukaryota; Viridiplantae; Streptophyta; Magnoliopsida; Arecales; Arecaceae
Description: long non-coding RNA (PDAC_LNC019925)
Source: RNAcentral